UUAACUUGUUUUUUUGUUUUAACUCGGACGUGCCACUGGGUUACAACAAGAGUUUGGUUUGCGCUCCUCCGGCGGGAGCCCGGCUCAGGCCGGGCCCCGGGGCCCCUCCCAGGGGCCUCCCGCCGAAGCAACUGACAAUGGUAGGUUCACAAAGGGUUGAAGAGUACGGAUACUCCUUUCGUAAUGAUCCCUCCGCUGGUUCACCAACGGAGA
This 213-nucleotide unclassified non-coding RNA is filed under the name uncultured fungus. Its description in RNAcentral is "sequence contains ITS1". Lineage: Eukaryota; Fungi. The record is from RNAcentral.